Scophthalmus maximus (turbot) is the source of this 119-nucleotide ribosomal RNA. The record is from Ensembl. Lineage: Eukaryota; Metazoa; Chordata; Actinopteri; Pleuronectiformes; Scophthalmidae.
GCUUACGGCCACACCGCCUGGUUCACGCCCGAUCUAGUUUGAUCUCGGAAGCUAAGAUAGGUUGGGCCUGGUUAGUACUUGGAUGGGAGACCGCCUAGGAAUACCAGGUGCUGUAAGGC